CCUACGGGGUGCAGCAGUGAGGAAUAUUGGUCAAUGGUCGGGAGACUGAACCAGCCAAGCCGCGUGAGGGAUGAAGGUACAGAGUAUCGUAAACCUCUUUUGUCAGGGAACAAAGGCGGGGACGUGUCCCCGGAUGCGUGUACCUGAAGAAAAAGCAUCGGCUAACUCCGUGCCAGCAGCCGCGGUAAUACGGAGGAUGCGAGCGUUAUCCGGAUUUAUUGGGUUUAAAGGGUGCGGAGGCGGUCUGUUAAGUCAGAGGUAAAAGCCCGGGGGUCAACCCCGGCCCGCCGUUGAAACUGGCAGUCGCGAGUUGGAGAGAAGUAUGCGGAAUGCGCGGUGUAGCGGUGAAAUGCAUAGAUAUCGCGCAGAACUCCGAUUGCGAAGGCAGCAUGCCGGCUCCACACUGACGCUGAGGCACGAAAGCGUGGGUAUCGAACAGGAUUAGAUACCCUUGUAGUC
RNAcentral lists this ribosomal RNA (459 nucleotides) under uncultured bacterium. Its description in RNAcentral is "partial 16S ribosomal RNA". It matches the Rfam family "Bacterial small subunit ribosomal RNA", at positions 338 to 795 of the family's 1533-position model. The record is from RNAcentral.